GCAAGUGUGGCGUAGUGGUUUGAGCAUUGGACUAAGACUGCGGAGACCUGGGUUCGAUUCCCUGCUCAGCCA
This is a non-coding RNA of Phrynosoma platyrhinos (Desert horned lizard), 72 nucleotides long. NCBI's taxonomy places the organism in Eukaryota, Metazoa, Chordata, Lepidosauria, Squamata, Phrynosomatidae. The record is from the annotation of a GenBank genome assembly.